AUUAGUUCGAUGACAAAGAGAGUAGUUUCAAGGUCAGAACUUCAGAGAACCGGGGAUGGUGCGAGCCCGGUGUUCCCCUUGAAAUGAAGCGCACUUUGGAGAAGCAUAUCUGAAGCUGUUCAGUAGGAUAUGCCGGGUACAUCCCGUUAUCUGAUGAGCUGCCCUGUUUGGGGAAGAAGAGUGGUACCGCGGGAAACCCGUCUCUAUU
This 208-nucleotide non-coding RNA is filed under the name Bacillus sp. (in: firmicutes). RNAcentral's name for it is "Bacillus sp. T-box sequence". It matches the Rfam family "T-box leader". Rfam says of the family: Uncharged tRNA acts as the effector for transcription antitermination of genes in the T-box leader family. T-boxes are found upstream of many aminoacyl-tRNA synthetase genes and some amino acid biosynthetic genes usually in Gram-positive bacteria. The anticodon of a specific tRNA base pairs to a specifier sequence within the T-box motif, and the NCCA acceptor tail of the tRNA base pairs to a conserved bulge in the T-box antiterminator hairpin. Lineage: Bacteria; Bacillati; Bacillota; Bacilli; Caryophanales; Bacillaceae. The record is from RNAcentral.